AUUGAACGCUGGCGGCAUGCCAUACACAUGCAAGUCGAACGGCAGCACGGGAGCAAUCCUGGUGGCGAGUGGCGAACGGGUGAGUAAUACAUCGGAACGUGCCCAAUCGUGGGGGAUAACGCAGCGAAAGCUGUGCUAAUACCGCAUACGAUCUACGGAUGAAAGCAGGGGAUCGCAAGACCUUGCGCGAAUGGAGCGGCCGAUGGCAGAUUAGGUAGUUGGUGAGGUAAAGGCUCACCAAGCCGUCGAUCUGUAGCUGGUCUGAGAGGACGACCAGCCACACUGGGACUGAGACACGGCCCAGACUCCUACGGGAGGCAGCAGUGGGGAAUUUUGGACAAUGGGCGAAAGCCUGAUCCAGCCAUGCCGCGUGCAGGAUGAAGGCCUUUGGGUUGUAAACUGCUUUUGUACGGAACAAAACGGCCUUUUCUAAUAAAGAGGGCUAAUGACGGUACCGUAAGAAUAAGCACCGGCUAACUACGUGCCAGCAGCCGCGGUAAUACGUAGGGUGCAAGCGUUAAUCGGAAUUACUGGGCGUAAAGCGUGCGCAGGCGGUUAUGUACGACAGUUGUGAAAUCCCCGGGCUCAACCUGGGAACUGCAUCUGUGACUGCAUAGCUAGAGUACGGUAGAGGGGGAUGGAAUUCCGCGUGUAGCAGUGAAAUGCGUAGAUAUGCGGAGGAACACCGAUGGCGAAGGCAAUCCCCUGGACCUGUACUGACGCUCAUGCACGAAAGCGUGGGGAGCAAACAGG
RNAcentral lists this ribosomal RNA (753 nucleotides) under uncultured Comamonadaceae bacterium. RNAcentral describes it as "bacterial SSU rRNA". It matches the Rfam family "Bacterial small subunit ribosomal RNA", at positions 28 to 776 of the family's 1533-position model. Lineage: Bacteria; Pseudomonadati; Pseudomonadota; Betaproteobacteria; Burkholderiales; Comamonadaceae. The record is from RNAcentral.